Molecule: ribosomal RNA, 1171 nt
Filed under: Enterococcus faecium
Lineage: Bacteria; Bacillati; Bacillota; Bacilli; Lactobacillales; Enterococcaceae
Description: bacterial SSU rRNA
Rfam family: Bacterial small subunit ribosomal RNA
Source: RNAcentral
GUCGACGCUUCUUUUUCCCCGGAGCUUGCUCCACCGGAAAAAGAAGAGUGGCGAACGGGUGAGUAACACGUGGGUAACCUGCCCAUCAGAAGGGGAUAACACUUGGAAACAGGUGCUAAUACCGUAUAACAAUCAAAACCGCAUGGUUUUGAUUUGAAAGGCGCUUUCGGGUGUCGCUGAUGGAUGGACCCGCGGUGCAUUAGCUAGUUGGUGAGGUAACGGCUCACCAAGGCCACGAUGCAUAGCCGACCUGAGAGGGUGAUCGGCCACAUUGGGACUGAGACACGGCCCAAACUCCUACGGGAGGCAGCAGUAGGGAAUCUUCGGCAAUGGACGAAAGUCUGACCGAGCAACGCCGCGUGAGUGAAGAAGGUUUUCGGAUCGUAAAACUCUGUUGUUAGAGAAGAACAAGGAUGAGAGUAACUGUUCAUCCCUUGACGGUAUCUAACCAGAAAGCCACGGCUAACUACGUGCCAGCAGCCGCGGUAAUACGUAGGUGGCAAGCGUUGUCCGGAUUUAUUGGGCGUAAAGCGAGCGCAGGCGGUUUCUUAAGUCUGAUGUGAAAGCCCCCGGCUCAACCGGGGAGGGUCAUUGGAAACUGGGAGACUUGAGUGCAGAAGAGGAGAGUGGAAUUCCAUGUGUAGCGGUGAAAUGCGUAGAUAUAUGGAGGAACACCAGUGGCGAAGGCGGCUCUCUGGUCUGUAACUGACGCUGAGGCUCGAAAGCGUGGGGAGCAAACAGGAUUAGAUACCCUGGUAGUCCACGCCGUAAACGAUGAGUGCUAAGUGUUGGAGGGUUUCCGCCCUUCAGUGCUGCAGCUAACGCAUUAAGCACUCCGCCUGGGGAGUACGACCGCAAGGUUGAAACUCAAAGGAAUUGACGGGGGCCCGCACAAGCGGUGGAGCAUGUGGUUUAAUUCGAAGCAACGCGAAGAACCUUACCAGGUCUUGACAUCCUUUGAUCACUCUAGAGAUAGAGCUUCCCCUUCGGGGGCAAAGUGACAGGUGGGUGCAUGGUUGUCGUCAGCUCGUGUCGUGAGAUGUUGGGUUAAGUCCCGCAACGAGCGCAACCCUUAUUGUUAGUUGCCAUCAUUCAGUUGGCCACUCUAGCAAGACUGCCGGUGCCAAACCGGAGGAAGGUGGGGAUGACGUCAAAUCAUCAUGCCCCUUAU